This is a long non-coding RNA of Ailuropoda melanoleuca (giant panda), 8887 nucleotides long. RefSeq lists it as uncharacterized. The transcript is spliced from 5 exons. Lineage: Eukaryota; Metazoa; Chordata; Mammalia; Carnivora; Ursidae. The record is from RefSeq and is a predicted model, not a curated record.
GAAGAAUUAAGCCCUAGACCAAAGCAGAGCAAAAAGGGGUCCUUGCCUGAAUAUCUGAACGGCAUUAAUGAAAACAUGUCUCCCUGUUUCCCUUUACAGUCUUCAUGGAAAUCAGCUCUGUCCACUGACUCAGAGCGACACACCGACUGGAAGAAGGCGCCGGCCCGCGUCGCAGUCUCGGCAGUCUGACGGCAUUGCAUUGGCUGCGAGUGGGUCACAUGCCUAUCUCUCAGCCUAUCGCUGUGGGCAGGGGAAUGCAGCGUGCUCAUUGGCUUAGACCUGGUUCCCAGCAUCCAACCCUGGAGCUGCUGGGGGUGGGAUCAGUCUGACUCAAACCACGCGGACGGGUGGAGCGGUUCCUCGGCGGGAAGCCAGCUGGGAGUGCCACAGGACGGUGACGUGUCACAGAGCAACAGCCCAAACCUGCAGUAUCAGAGACAGAGAGGAAGACACAUGGAGGAGCAGAGUGGGCCAUUGAGGACGACACAGAGACUGGAGUGACGCAGCCACAAAGAUGGCACAUAGCCACCAGAAGCUGGAAGAGGCAAACCAGGAGUCUACCUAAGAGCCCUCAGAGGAAGUGCAGCCCUGCCAACACCUUGAUCUGGGAUUUCUGACUCCAGAACUGCCUCAGAGUGGAGUGGAAGCAAAGGCAAUCGAGAGACUUCAAUGCACCAGGAGCUGUUUCACGACGAGCUUAUUUCUCAUUUGUCUUCAUUAGAAGGAUUUCAAGAUUGGAACGUUGAAUGGACCACUCACUGACAACUGAUGGGAAGAUUAGUAAUCAAAGGUUGGAGCUAUUUGGAAAGGGAAUGUGCCCUGCUAUGGGGAUUGAUGGGAAAAUGAAGAGGGAGCUCCAAGCCCUCAAAUAGACAUGAUUUAAGCUAAAAGCCCAAGAAGCUGCUGUGGGGGAAGGAGAGCAAUGGAUUCCGUCUCCUCACGGAGGCUGCAUCACGUGCCCAUCCGGGGAAGUGCAGACAGCCCUCUUCAGAAACGUGGAGUAGCCAAGUGGUGCUCUUGAGAAAGCCAAUUGCGGGAAGCUCCUCACAUUUUAGCUCAGCUCUGUCUGAGGAGAGAGAACAUUUGUCAGUGAAACAAACUGUGUGAGGAAGUCAUGGCUUUUGUGAAGAGACCGAGUGUUCAAAACAUGUUUCCUCUGGUUCUGUGAUCAUCGUUUGCCAGAAGUUUGUUUCAUGGGCGUAUUUUUCUAGCCUCAAUGAAUUCAGGCCUUUCCAUCGAAUUUCAGUUGAGAAGUGAGGAUCUUGGAGAUUUUUGGCUUUUCAAUUCAUAGACUACGCGCGAGGCCGAUGAAGCUAUUAAUUCCACUCACAUGCAUUUAUCACUCCCUCGUCUCCUCAGCCUCCUCCCUCAGACUCUACUGAUUCAUUCCAGAAACAAAAGCAUAGACAUUGUCAGAUUCUACACUUGAAUUUGAACUGGCCCACAGUUCAGAUUGAAGGAAAAUGAAAGACUCUUGUUGGUGGAUAGUGCUGGAGAAGUCUAAACAGAGAUGUCUGUGGCCAGGAAGAAUGCCUCUUAGGGACACUUUGGAAGACCAGCACAUAUGCAGACAAAAUGAGGAGAGCUUCCCUGAGAGAGCUAGUGGUUGAGCCUCUAACUUGGAGUUCUCAUUCUGUCCUCCUAUUUAAGAUGAAAUGAGGCUCUGAGUAAAGAAUCCUCCUCUUCUGGAAUCUCAAAAUAUUAAAGCAGUUAAAAAAUAAGAUGCAAAAUAAAUGAGUGUUCGUUACGAGGCUGAAGAAAAAUGUGGAUACUGCUUUUUGAAGGAGCUCAGUUCCUGAUGUAAAGAAAAACAUCUCGAGGAACCAGACACUGGGAAUCAUGGCACAGGGGCAAAGAUCAAUACAUUCCAGCCAAGCUUUGUAUCCCAGGGGCUUUAAAUACACAUAACUCUGUUUCCUUACAGUUGGAUGACGUCAUAAACUUGCAUGAUCCAUAGCUUGUGUGAGCGCGCUGGACCGUGAGGCAGUAACACAGAGCACCUUCAUCCCUCACUCGUGUCACCCUGCAGGAUGGCCAGGUAGCCCUUCUCCAUCUGGUAAUUACGCCACGGGAAAACGUGGUCCCAAAGCAGGGAAAGGGGUGGAAGGAGACUUGAGCAGAAUGUUUCCAAGGGCCAAACUUAGAAGUGGUUUACAUCAGUUCCGCCCACAGUUCAUGGGUCAGACUCUGACACCUGGCUGACUGAGAAGAACCUUGGGAAUAGUUGUCUUCCUGUGUCCCAGGCCAGAGGAUCUGGGCGGGUUGCUGGAGUGGUGGGUGAGUCCUCAGCAUUAUUUCUGCCACAUAGCCAGAGAUCAUUUUUUUCCCCUCUGAAUUUUUCAAAACACACAUCAACAUUGAAAACAAAAAUGCCAAUAUUUCUCACAAUCAUAAGAAAAUAAAUGUUUUUAGAAUCAUCAUGGUACUUCUCAGAGAGUGCUAUUUGCUUCUUUACUGAAUAUGUUAUACCAAGGAAAUAGCACACAUCGACAUAAUUUUUAUCUGUGGAAAGACUGUUAAGGAAGUCUUGGUAACUACUCAUGUAAAAACAUAUCUGGAUCAUAAUCAACAUAAAUGGUUUUUCUACAUCAUAUUAUAACAGUUAAAGCAAGACUUCUCGGGCACAUAAUCCAGUCUUUAUUAUAUCCUUUAUGUAGUGAGUUGAAUUAUGUCUUCCAAAAAGAUGCAUUCAAGUCCUAAUCCCUCGUGCCUGUGAAUGUGACCUUAUUUAGAAACAGGGUCUUUGCAGAUGUAAUCCAUUAAAAUGAGGUCAUACUGGAUUAGGAUGGGCUCUAAAUCCAAUGACUCAUCUUUAGAAGAGAAAGGAGAGGGCGAUGUGGAUACAGAGACAUAUAGACACAUAGAAGGGGAAGAGCCAUGUGAAGUUUGAGGCAGAGACUGUAGGGAUGCAGCUACAAGCGAAGGAAUGUCAAGGGUUUUUGGCAACUAUCAGAAGCUAGAAGGGAAGCAUGGAAUGGAUUCUCCUUUGGAGACUCCAGAAGGAAUCAAUCCUGCUGACACCUUGAUUUCAGAUUCCUCAAGAAUGGUGGGAGAAUACACUUCUAUUGUUUUAAGGCACUGAGAUUGUGGUGAUUUGUUACAGUAGUCCUAGGAAACUGGUAUACUUGACUUACAAAGAAUCUGGACUUUAAGAGACGAUACCACCUUUAGGCUCCUACUGUGUGCAAGGCACCGCUAGACAUGAGUGAUAUAAAGGUGGGCACAAGAUGCUUGUAAAUGAGUGGAGGUGAAAGACAUAUAAACAGAUAUGUUUGAAUUCAACUGGGGGGCAUUCUUGUGCUUUUGACUCCCCAACUCAAAAAGAGAACAAAUCUAACAUCAAAAAUUAUGUUUUGUAUUAUCACUUCUUAUUCUUUCUCUAAUAGUCAGUUCAUUUCAACAAAUACUUAGGCUCCACAGUGAUCUUUCAAGACAUUAAGAUAUUACUGGUAUUAUACAACAUUAUGUUACAGGAAACAUCCCAUUUGUUUUCCCCAAAGUCUCAAGGAAAAGAUCAUUGAUGUAUUAGUAUUUGUUAAGAUCUAUUUGUUUUAGAAUGUUGCUAGAGGCUCAAAAGCAUAUACAACAGCCACCAAUUCUUGAAAAUCACUACGUAUCAGGAAAACAAUGGCAAGUGAAAACCAGUUCUUCACAACACAGAUUGGAUUUUGAUGCGAAAUAAAAGGGUUAUUUUGUGCUGAAGCUGGGAUGUCCAACUUGGAAUGCCACUAACUGGAAACCAUUUCAUGAGGAACAGCAACUGUCAGCAACUGGGUAUAUGCUGGAAAAUACAGUGAGAUAAAGAAUACUGAUAAUUGUCUGACUGUUUUUGGAAUUGUCCUUUUGGUUACAUCUGCUAAAUGUGAGACCAGAUCAUUGUCAGCUCAUUCCAGAAGAACCACAAUGAUACAAUAAUGGGGUCCUGACUCCAUGACUGUGUAACUCGUGGCUUUUUAAGGUUUCAUUAUUGACCCAACUUUGUUAAGCAAAUGACUAACUGCUGAUUUCAAAUCCUAGGAUUUGUCCAUUCUCAUAAUGGACGAACUCAGUGAAUCUCAUUCACUCAAUUUUUGUAGUACUGGUGGAAAAUGCCACGUUAAAUUUGUCAUGUUCAAAUAUUUAUGCACUGUGAUGCAUUUCCCUACGAGAGAAAAGAUGAAGAGGAAUUUUUUAACAAGUUGGCGCUGCUUUGGCACAUAAAGUCAAAUCUAGUUCAGUCCCAUUCACGGGAGUGUGUAGAGUCAUCUAUGGAUAAUUUACAAGAACAGGUUACACUGAAAUUGAAUCAUCGGUUGCUAUGGAGGUGCUGUGGCCAAAUUACAGGAUGGCCCAGCACAUAGCAAAUGCUCAGGUCAAAAGGCACCAAGAAGAGAAAACUGUAACUCAGCUAAUAGGCUACUAUCUGAAGGCAGCCAUGUCAGGUGCACAUAGUACAUCCCACCUCACUCAGAAGGUCCCCCAAAUCAUUACAUUUCUUGUCUAAGGAGAACUCUGUUGCCUUGGUUUGUGGUGGUUCAGCCUACUCUGCAUUUGCUGUUAUGUGAACCACUUCCCAAAGUCUGUUGCUCUCUGUAGGAGGGGCCUCAUGGAUCCUUCUAAACACCUACCACCAGAGGUCUGCAUCUCCCCUGGAACCCCUAACUGCACCCAUCUGGAGCUAUAGCUGAUGACCUUCUUGCAACCAAGUAAUCGGGCUUAGAUAAUAAAUAUUAAUCCAAGGGUCUUCACAGUUAGAGUUCAUCUCCAUGGUUAUAGCCCUUUCCCUUCCACAGGAGGGAGAUGAACCAUCCUGUUUAUGCAGUAGUUAGUGAGAGCUCAUCAUCGAUGUCUCCUCCACUUCCAUCUAGCUCAGGUCUUCCUUAACUUGGCCAGUGUGGGGGGGAGGCAGGUGGGGGUACACAGUGAGGUGAAAUGGCAAAGAGAGUGUGCAAGUAUUUUUAAACAUCAGCACAAAUUCUGUGUUAAAUGCUGUAAUCAGUUCUUCGGAUGUUAUUUCAUUUAAUUGGGACAAGAAUCCUGUAAAGUCAUCUUGUUAGGCCCACUUGAGGAAACAGAAGAGUUAAAUAACUCACCUCAAAACCACGUUGCUAGUAAGAACUGAAGCAAAGACUUGAACCCAGGUCUAUCCAUUUUCAAGUUCCUCCAUUUUUUCUACUAUGUUUUGAGACACAGUUACUUAAGAUGCCUAACCUUUUCAUUUCUGGUCACUUCUGUCUCACUUGGGCCCUGGUGCUCUUUCUUUGUUCCUGGGAAGACCCCAAGGCCCACUUCGCUGAAUGACUCUGUCCCAUCUGUCUUGGGAUCAAAAAGCCGUUCCAAUAAUUUUUCUGCAUUCCACAGCAUAGUUCACGUAGCCCUGGGUUGUAUUUGCAAAGAUGAAACCAAGACUCGGUGAUAACUGCAUAUUCAUAUCUAUCUUUUCAUUAUAUACUUACUUUUAAAUAAAUGGGUGUCUACUGUACUGAAAACGCUUUUGAACAAGAUUCUGACAUUGUGCAAGAGAACCCUGCCACUGGGUACGCUGGGAGCUGUCUGAUUUCCCAGUCCUGGAUUCUUUCUCACCUUGUCUAGACAAUGAAGAUGAAUAAAGAUCCUUUAUUCCCACCACCUUUCCUUAACCCUCCUCCAGAGCUGGGGAAGUGUGACUACAGCUUUAAAUAGCUUUUCUUCAAGGCCGGUGAAUAAAAGGGUAUCAAUGCUCAAGUAAGUAAAAUGGAUAGAGCCCCCAGGCAGACAAGUUGCAGAAAAGUGAGCAAGUGCCAUGAAUGAAUUUGAAAGUGAGAUCGAUAAUAGGCUCUGAAGCUUAAAGGAACAGUAUUUAUUGAGUCUUAUUGUCGAGUUCCACUGAAUUCCAAAGAACAAUGUGAGUAAGUGGUUACUUUUUGGAAGGAUUUUCUGGGUGAAACGUCUGAGCUAUAUAUUGAGAAACCAUUAGAUUACAACCAAAAUGGGUUUGCUCUUAUGUUAGCAUUCUGCCAAUACUCUCAGCUAUGGAUAGAAAACAAUAAAUACAAGAGUUCUAACAAGAGACCAUGUAUACCAGCACUUUGAAAUGGGGAUAAUGCAUAGAUUUGGAAAGCUACAUUUAUAAUAAUUCAAAUAAGCGAGGCCCUGGAUUGCCCAAGUUCAACCAUAUACUGUAUGGAGCUGUUUUAUGGGAGAGGAGAUGUAUAUUUUGAACAGUGUUUUCCAUCUGGUUAACGAAAUCUGUCAAAAACUACAGAUUCUCUCAGUCUGAUUCAGUGGAAAUGAAAUAAGACUCAAGUAUGUGUGUAUUUUUUUUUUUUAACUUCCCAGUUGAUUUUGGUGAUCCACAGGUUUGGGAAUGAUUCUGCUAAAAGAUUUAGGCUACUUUGCCAUUCUUAGGCAUGAAUUAGGCAAAUCUCAUCCAUUUUCAGUGUCUGGAUCAAUCCACUGGUAAGGACUGUAAGCAUCGGAAGAGACCCAAAGAUGGAUUCCAAGAUAUCCCUCCAGGAACAGCAGCCUGGGCUGCAGUUCAGGGAGAAAGUUUGCACCACUAAUAAAGUGCUGUUGUACUGAAUUGACUCCGAGUAAAAUUUCAGCUUCCGUACUAUUUUAGCCUUGGAAAUAUUUACACCAGAGAGAUGGUUGUGUUUCUCUCCACCACACAGAACAGUACCCUGACAAUUCAGCCAGGGCUGUAAGAGGACAAUUGGACUUAGGGGGUUAAGACAAUCAUUAUUUAAGACAACACAUUUGAAACUUACAUUUCUUGGCUUGCAAGUGUGUUUAUCAUGCAAAGCAUGAUGUCUCGAGACCCUGGUCUGGCUUUGAGAGGGGUAGGAGAGGGAUACCACGGAAAAGCAAACUACAAUGGCAAGGCAAGAUUAUUUUUACAAGGACUGGAGGACUGUAUUUGUGACCCACCAAUUCAUUUCCUCUCUCAGUCAAUGGAAACAUUUUGAUGCCUCUAACAAUAGGAGAAAAGGUACUACUUUUCUUCGAUUUAUUGUCUCAGAGAGGCAGCGGCUGAACCAGGCGGAUUUAGUAUCCCUGGCUUGUAUAACAGCUAGCUCCCUCUUAAAAUACUCAAGUCUCUUCCCAGGAAGGCCUUUUAGAUCUUCUUUGAGUCACAGAUCUGUUUGAAAAUUCUACCAAGAAACACAGACACCAAAUUUUGCAUGCAAUUUCAGGGACUUAAGGAUCCUAGCUUAAGAGUUGUCAGCCUUGCAGAGGGGAUUUCGUUUUCACUCCACCAAAUUAAUUUUAAUUGAUUGCAAAAUGACUGAUGGUUAUAGUGCACAGAUCAGAAUCUAGACACUUAAACAUCUGUGGGCAUGGUCUCUGGCAGGGGUUAUUAGCUGCAUUGGUAAUGUUAAAACCUUGACUCCAUUGCUUUCCCACCUUGAAAUGAGAAAUUUACUCUUCUCCUUUGUAAGGUGUAUUAUUCUUGGGAGAAGAGACUUCAAGUACAGAUCUAUACCUGGUAAUGUCCAACACUAAUUCUGAGCACACAUCCUCCCAAAAAUCAAAUAAAAGAAAUUUACUUCCUCAAUUCUAGGAUCCACAUGGCCACUUAAGCAAUUCGGAAGAUCAUUGUACUAGUUGAUGAUCUUGAAAACCAGAACCAUGUCUACCUUACUUUUCAGGCUCACACUCAGCAUGCCCAGGCCACGGGGAAGCUCAGUGUCAAAUAGAAGAACCUGAUUGCUCCUCUCAGUUCUCGAGGGAGGAUAACAUAACCUCACAGAUGCAAACCAUGAGAACCCUCUUGUAUCAACUUUAAUAGGCCUGUUUAAUCUGGUUUCUAUUACGUAUUAUACAUCUAGCUCAUUUUAAAAAGCAGCCAUUGAUCCUUAGCUCUACAAAUGCCUGCCACUGAACAAGUAACUUCACUAUAAAGUCUGAAAUGCUAUAAUUCAGUGCUAUGUUCAGUUCAUUUUGGCUUUCUGUGUGAGGGCUGGACAUCACGGGGAAGAUCUGAUCACUGGUUAGCUGGGACAACUGACUAGGGCCCUCAAAGAUGCCUUUCUUAGUUCAGAAAAUUCUUGGUCCCGGUUAACCAAGUAAAAACUGUUACCUUUAAUCUUUUUUAAAAGCCUCACUUUCUUUUAAUCAAAGACCCAAACAAACACGCCCAGCACUUGAAUACUGAAGGGCAAUGUCUGAAUAUAAACACAUAUUUUGAUGCCUAUCGGUUAGACUUUUUCUAACAAGAGACAUUAUUUAUGAAAUCUCUGAAGUCUCAUAUUAUUUUUGUCACCUGCUAUAAUCUAGCCCCUGAAAAAACUGGGUUAUGCUGCCCCAGAUAUUCAAACCAAUCUAAUUUUCAUGCCAACCAAAUAAAUAAGCUGAAUACCUGAAAACGAAACUUGUUUAAGCAUAUGUAAUCUUAGCAGACAUUAAAUAUAACAGAUGGUAAAGGCUGAUAGGUGGGGUGGCAGAUUAACUAUUUGUAUUUAAGUAUUAUAUAUUUAUAGUAGAGUCGCUUUUACAAUGGCAAUUAUUAGUGCAAGACAACAUUAGAGGCAAAUAUUUUCAGUACAUGGGUGAUAUUGCUAAGCACCUGGGGUAUGUCUAGAGGAGGGGUACCUUAAGAAACAGCGCCCGAGUAAGGAAGUACUUUUCUCCUAAGAGGUGGAUGUGGAACCAGAAUACCAGGGUUAGUUAAGUUUUCAUCAAAUAAUUUUUUUUAAUACUAUCAGUCCUUGUGUUUCUAUAAAAGAGCAGAUAUAGUGCCACACGAUAGAAAAUCUAAAUCAGAUUGAUUUGCAUGGUAUUCUAAUUUGCAUGUUUGAACACAUUUUUAGUGACAGGGAGGGGAAAGGGCAGACACAUAUUACGUAGCAAGGAUCAACUACCAUUUUUUAAUUUGCCAUGGAUUAUACACAGGAUCAAUCAAAUUUACUCAAACACAAGUAUUGAC